CCUACGGGAGGCAGCAGUGGGGAAUAUUGCACAAUGGGCGAAAGCCUGAUGCAGCAACGCCGCGUGAGCGAUGAAGGCCUUCGGGUCGUAAAGCUCUGUCCUAUGGGAAGAUAAUGACGGUACCAUAGGAGGAAGCCCCGGCUAACUACGUGCCAGCAGCCGCGGUAAUACGUAGGGGGCAAGCGUUAUCCGGAAUUACUGGGCGUAAAGGGUGCGUAGGCGGUUUAUCAAGUCAGGGGUGAAAGGCUACGGCUCAACCGUAGUGAGCCUCUGAAACUGGUGAACUUGAGUGUAGGAGAGGAAAGUGGAAUUCCCAGUGUAGCGGUGAAAUGCGUAGAUAUUGGGAGGAACACCAGUGGCGAAGGCGACUUUCUGGACUACAACUGACGCUGAGGCACGAAAGCGUGGGGAGCAAACAGGAUUAGAUACCCUGGUAGUCCACGCUGUAAACGAUGAGUACUAGGUGUCGGCUGUCAAAGGUCGGUGCCGGCGUUAACACAUUAAGUACUCCGCCUGGGGAGUACGCUCGCAAGAGUGAAACUCAAAUGAAUUGACGG
Molecule: ribosomal RNA, 557 nt
Filed under: uncultured bacterium
Lineage: Bacteria
Description: bacterial SSU rRNA
Rfam family: Bacterial small subunit ribosomal RNA
Source: RNAcentral